This 370-nucleotide ribosomal RNA is filed under the name uncultured organism. Its description in RNAcentral is "partial 16S ribosomal RNA". It matches the Rfam family "Bacterial small subunit ribosomal RNA", at positions 527 to 896 of the family's 1533-position model. The record is from RNAcentral.
GCAGGUGGCAAGCGUUGUCCGGAAUUAUUGGCGUAAAGCGCGCGCAGGCGGUUCUUUAAGUCUGAUGUGAAAGCCCACGGCUCAACCGUGGAGGGUCAUUGGAAACUGGAGAACUUGAGUCCAGAAGAGGAAAGCGGAAUUCCACGUGUAGCGGUGAAAUGCGUAGAGAUGUGGAGGAACACCAGUGGCGAAGGCGGCUUUCUGGUCUGUAACUGACGCUGAGGCGCGAAAGCGUGGGGGAGCAAACAGGAUUAGAUACCCUGGUAGUCCACGCCGUAAACGAUGAGUGCUAAGUGUUAGGGGGUUUCCGCCCCCUAGUGCUGCAGCUAACGCAUUAAGCACUCCGCCUGGGAGUACGGCCGCAAGGCUG